RNAcentral lists this ribosomal RNA (751 nucleotides) under uncultured haloarchaeon. RNAcentral describes it as "bacterial SSU rRNA". It matches the Rfam family "Archaeal small subunit ribosomal RNA", at positions 5 to 757 of the family's 1478-position model. The record is from RNAcentral. Lineage: Archaea; Methanobacteriati; Methanobacteriota; Halobacteria; Halobacteriales; Halobacteriaceae.
CGGUUGAUCCUGCCGGAGGCCAUUGCUAUCGGAGUCCGAUUUAGCCAUGCUAGUCGCACGGGUUUAGACCCGUGGCGGAAAGCUCAGUAACACGUGGUCGAACUGCCCUGUGGAUCGGAAUAACCUCGGGAAACUGAGGCUAAUUCCGAAUACAGCUCCCAUGCUUGAAUGCAGGGAGCUGGAAACGCUCCGGCGCCACAGGAUGUGACUGCGGCCGAUUAGGUAGACGGUGGGGUAACGGCCCACCGUGCCGAUAAUCGGUACGGGUUGUGAGAGCAAGAGCCCGGAGACGGUAUCUGAGACAAGAUACCGGGCCCUACGGGGCGCAGCAGGCGCGAAACCUUUACACUGCACGACAGUGCGAUAGGGGGACUCCGAGUGCGAGGGCAUACAGUCCUCGCUUUUCUGUACCGUAAGGUGGUACAGGAACAAGUGCUGGGCAAGACCGGUGCCAGCCGCCGCGGUUAUACCGGCAGCACGAGUGAUGGCCGAUUUUAUUGGGCCUAAAGCGUCCGUAGCUGGCCAGACAAGUCCGUUGGGAAAUCCACGCGCUCAACGCGUGGGCGUCCAGCGGAAACUAUCUGGCUUGGGGCCGGAAGACCCGAGGGGUACGUCCGGGGUAGGAGUGAAAUCCCGUAAUCCUGGACGGACCACCGGUGGCGAAAGCGCCUCGGGAAGACGGACCCGACAGUGAGGGACGAAAGCCAGGGUCUCGAACCGGAUUAGAUACCCGGGUAGUCCUGGCCGUAAA